GACGAACGCUGGCGGCGUGCCUAAUACAUGCAAGUUGAGCGAUGAAGAUUGGUGCUUGCACCAAUUUGAAGAGCAGCGAACGGGUGAGUAACGCGUGGGGAAUCUGCCUUUGAGCGGGGGACAACAUUUGGAAACGAAUGCUAAUACCGCAUAACAACUUUAAACAUAAGUUUUAAGUUUGAAAGAUGCAAUUGCAUCACUCAAAGAUGAUCCCGCGUUGUAUUAGCUAGUUGGUGAGGUAAAGGCUCACCAAGGCGAUGAUACAUAGCCGACCUGAGAGGGUGAUCGGCCACAUUGGGACUGAGAAACGGCCCAAACUCCUACGGGAGGCAGCAGUAGGGAAUCUUCGGAAAUGGACGAAAGUCUGACCGAGCAACGCCGCGUGAGUGAAGAAGGUUUUCGGAUCGUAAAACUCUGUUGGUAGAGAAGAACGUUGGUGAGAGUGGAAAGCUCAUCAAGUGACGGUAACUACCCAGAAAGGGACGGCUAACUACGUG
Molecule: ribosomal RNA, 497 nt
Filed under: uncultured bacterium
Lineage: Bacteria
Description: partial 16S ribosomal RNA
Rfam family: Bacterial small subunit ribosomal RNA
Source: RNAcentral